Camelus dromedarius (Arabian camel) is the source of this 2777-nucleotide long non-coding RNA. RefSeq lists it as uncharacterized. The transcript is spliced from 3 exons. Lineage: Eukaryota; Metazoa; Chordata; Mammalia; Artiodactyla; Camelidae. The record is from RefSeq and is a predicted model, not a curated record.
GGGCAGGGUGGAGAGGAAUAGAGAAACAUGUGCGCUGGGAGGAGGGGUCUUCAGGGAGCUUGGGAAAAGAGGUGGAGAAAGUUUGGAGUUAAUGAUAGAAGAGGCAAAGAUGCGAAGAAGGAGGCAAGGGGCAGCUGGAGAAAUGGCAUUCUCCAGGAUCAUGCAUUUUAUGAGCGCCGUCUGACAAAGUCCCCAGAACAUCUGCUGGUGACGUCACCUUUAAUCACAGCUUUGGAGACUGAAGCACAGAGAGGCCAAGUCAGUGGCCCAGGAGACACAGAGGGAUUUAACCGACAGAGAAUGCAGUGGCAGACCAGCAAUGCAGAGGAGGUCCUCAUCACUGACGACUUUACCUUCAGUGGUUAAGGAUUGCACUGUACCUGCUUCUGGGCCCUCAACGUUCUGCAUGUGCCUGGGCCCGGUCACCAGAGAUGAGUAGUCCUUAGACUUUAGCAUGCGGUGCAGCAGCGUCACCUGGAGGGCUGGAUGAGAUACAGAUUGCUGGGCUCCACGGGGGAGAUUCUGACUCAUUAGGUCUAGGGUGCGGUCUGGGAAUUUGCAUUCUGAGCUAGGUUCCAGGAAGCGGUGAUGCUGCUGGUCAGGGGACUGCCUGCACAUUGAGAAGCGCAACUUAGACUGUUAAUCAGAGGACAAGAAUGGCUUGGAAGUGGCUGGAUUACCUGUUUCCAGACAACCAUUAAUUGACAGUGACAGCAGCCAAGGCUGAAAAUCAAGCAACUCUUGCUCUGUUAGGGCAGGAUGCUUGGUUACAUCUUCUUCUACUACUUCUUCAUCUUUUGACUUUUAAUAACAACAUAUUGUGCAUUUGAUAAUAUAAGUAAAAGUAAACUGUAUGAAAACAGCAGUAAAAUUACUGGAUGGGGAGAAAUGGAAAUAUACUGUCAUAAGGUUGGAAUAUGAUGGAUAAAGUGAUAUAAUAUUAUUUGAAGGUAGAUUGUGAGUCAGUUUUCAUUCUACAAACCCCAAAGCAGCCUCUAAAAUAACAUAAUAGUUAUAAUUAAUAAUUCAUCAUUGGAGGUAAAAUAAAUUAUAAAAAUACUCAAUAAAAAUAGAACAAAAGGGAGAAAGGGUAAAAAGAACAGAUGGAACCAGUAGAACAAAAUACCACAAUUGUAUAUUUGAGCUUAUCCAUAUCAUUAUUCAUAUCAAAUGUAAGUGGUCGCAACCCUCCAAUUAAAAGGCAGAGAUUGUCUUUCUGAAUAAAAAGCAAGACCCAACUAUAGGCCACUUCUAAGAAAGUCACUUUAAGUAAAGAGAUAGCAUGCUUAAAAAGUAAAAGGAUGGGAAAAGAUUUACCAUGGUAUACAAUGUACCGUGGCGAUAUUAAGGAAGACAAAGAAGGUAUCAGAGCAAUGCUAGCAACAAAAAGUACCUACAUAAUGAUUUAAAAAAAAGUGAAUUUAUAGAGAGUACAUAGCAAUCCGAAGCCUUUAAGCACCCAAUAACAGAACUUCAAAAUAUGUGAAGUAAAAUCUGACAGUACUUUAAGGAGAAGUAGACAAUUUCUACAGUUAUAAAUCUAUUACUAUAAUCAUGUAUAAAGAGUAAUUAUGUGAUUUUAAAUCAAAUACAGUUUAAAUCAUGUAAGAGUGAUCUAAACAUCACCCUAGUAGUAACUGAUAGAAAAUUUAGGAAGAAAGUUAGUAAGGAUGUAAAAGGCAUUAUCAUACCAACCAAAUUGAACUAACUGACUUUUACAGUGCACUGCGCCCAACAGGAGCAGAGUACACAUUCUUUUCCAAGUACACAUAGAAGACUUACCAAGAUGAACAGUAUUUUGGGCCAUAAACAGGUUCUAAUAAAUUUAAAGGGACUCUAACUCAUACAAAGUAUACUCUCUGGCAACAAUGGAAUAAUGACAGAAAUAUAUCCGGAAUAGCACACUUCUUAGCAGCUCAUAUACCAAAGAAGAGAUCAAAAGGGAAUUUAGAAAAUAACCAAAUGAAAAUGAAAACAUAACAUAAUAAACUUUGUGGGAAGCAAGGACUAGAGCACCGGGAUGAACAUUUAUAACACUGAAUGCUGAGAACUUCUUAAUUCAAUGACCUCAGGUUAAUGUUCCAAGUGUGCUUGGAAAUUACAUGUAUUCUGUAUUUGUUGGGAGCCGUGUUUCACAAACGUCCAUGCAGUUCUUGCUGUUCAAGUUUUCUCUGUGCUUACAGAUUUUUUUUCCCUAUUGCUUUUAUUACUUUAUUUAAGAAAUCUUUUCCCACCACAAGGCCAUGAAAAUUUCUGGAAGUUUUAUAAUCAUGUUUUUGGAAUUUGAUCUAUGCUCUGUCUGGGGUUGAUUUGCUUUGAAUUUAUUUUUAUUGAAGUAUAGUUGAUUUACAGUAUUAUGUCAGUAUCAGAUGUACAGCAUAGCGGUGAUUCAGUAUUUUUACAGAUUAUAUGCCAUUAAAAGUUAUUACAAGAUAAUGGGUAUCAUGCAGUGUGCUAUACAAAAUAUCCUUGUUGCUUAUCUGCUUCAUACAUGGUAGCUUGUAUCUCUUAAUCACAUAUCCUUAUCUAGCUCCUCCCCACGUCCCUCUCCUCGCUGGUAACCACAAGUUUCUUUUCUGUAUCUGAGUCUGUUUCUGUUUUGCUGUAUGCAUUCAUUUGUUUUAUUUUUUCAGAUUUCACAUGUAAGUGAUAUCAUACAGUCUUUGAUUUAUUUUGAGUUAAUUUCUGUAAAAGUGUGAGGAGCCAAAGUUCAUAUUUUGCACACAAAUGUCCACUUGCCCUUGCCUCAUUUAUUAAAAAAAACUAUCCUUUCUCCA